GUCCACGCCGUAAACGAUGAGUGCUAGGUGCUGUGGGUAUUGACCCCUGCGGUGCCGCAGCUAACGCGUUAAGCACUCCGCCUGGGGAGUACGGCCGCAAGGCUAAAACUCAAAGGAAUUGACGGGGGCCCGCACAAGCGGUGGAGCAUGUGGUUCAAUUCGACGCAACGCGCAGAACCUUACCUGGGUUAAAUCCACUCGAACUUGGCAGAGAUGCCUUGGUGCCUUUCGGGGAACGAGUGAGAAGGUGCUGCAUGGCUGUCGU
This 265-nucleotide ribosomal RNA is filed under the name uncultured bacterium. RNAcentral describes it as "partial 16S ribosomal RNA". It matches the Rfam family "Bacterial small subunit ribosomal RNA", at positions 793 to 1055 of the family's 1533-position model. The record is from RNAcentral.